GGGGAUUCUUAUGAUGAGGCACAGGCAUAUGCUAAGAAAAGGGCUAACGAGGAGAGUCGAACAUUCAUACCUCCUUUUGAUCACCCAGAUGUUAUAAUGGGACAGGGAACAGUUGGGAUGGAAAUUAUGCGUCAAAUGCAAUCCCCAGUGCACGCAAUCUUUUUGUGCCUGUGGGGGGUGGUGGGCUAAUAGCUGGUAUUGCUGCCUAUGUAAAGAGGGUUAAUCCUGAGGUAAAGAUAAUUGGGGUGGAACCCUGUGAUGCAAAUGCAAUGGCAUUGUCCCUGCAUCACGGUGAGAGAGUGAUGUUGGACCAGGUUGGAGGUUUUGCAGAUGGUGUGGCUGUUAAAGA
Molecule: unclassified non-coding RNA, 349 nt
Filed under: Hevea brasiliensis (rubber tree)
Lineage: Eukaryota; Viridiplantae; Streptophyta; Magnoliopsida; Malpighiales; Euphorbiaceae
Source: RNAcentral